UCUAAACUCAUUGAAAUUUUUAUAAAUUAUGAUUGAAUUCAUAACUAUAAAGAGUUAUAGUCUCGUUAUUUAAAAUUUCAAGCAUGGGAAUUAGAAUUAAAGAGUCGGGUAGCUUGAGAAUGCUGCCUUAAUAUAGGUGGUACACCCCAUCUAAAGCUAAAUAUUGUAAAGAGACCGAUAGCAUACAAGUAGUGUGAACGAAAGAUGAAAAGAACUCCUAAACGGAGAAUUAAAAGCGCCUGAACUUGUCUAGGUUUUCGCAUUUCUUUAAUGCGCCCGUCUUGAAACACGGAUUAGGGAGUUUUACUUAAAUACGAGUCUUUAACUUUUAAAGUAAUUUUUUUAAAAAAGGCGAAAAGAAAUUAACUGGUUUUUUUAACAUGGCUAUAGAGUAUUUAAGUCAAAACCCGAAUGGAGGUGAACUAUUCCUGCAAAGAUUGAAGUCAGGGGAAACUCUGAUGGAAGAUCGUUGGCGUUAUUGAUGUGCAAAUCAUUUGCUUUAUGUAGGUAUAGGUGCGAAAGACUCAUCGAACCUCCUAAUAGCUGGUUUCCUCCGAAGUUUCCCUCAGGAUAGCUGUAACAUUUUUAAAUAGUUAAGGAUAGUAGAGAAAUGGGUAGAGGUGUAGUGGAACUACGGUUCUGCAACUUAUUUCCAAACUUCGAACGUUCUUGAUAUAAAAAAUUACCUAAUAGGAAUUUUUUAUUUAAAUAUAUGUUAUAAGUGGGCUCUGACCGGUAAGCGGUCAUGGCGAAAAGGGAUGAACCUAACGUAUAAAUAAGGUGCCUAAAUUUACUAACAAUGAAACCAUUAAAAGAGUCCAUGUAUUUAGACAGCGGGUCGGUGCCCCUAAAAGCAGGUAUCCGUUAAUGAGUGUGUUAAAACUCCCCCGCCGAAUACUCUGGCCUUGAAAAUGAAUGGCGCAUAUAGUAAUACCGAUAUUAUACAUUAAAAUUAUUUAAAAAUUUUAAAAGUAGGGGGAUGUGGAUAUCUUAGAGAAUUUUUAAUUGUAAAAUUGAAUUGAAAGAUAUCUAUUACAGAUCCUAAUUGAAGUAGCGAUUAUCCAGGUUAAUCUCCUGGGGGCUGAUGAGGAGUAGGGUUUCUGGGCAACUUAAACGGACCCAGAGUUAGUCGAUCCUAAUCAAAUUAAAUUUAGAGAAAGGGAAUAUGAAUGAUAUUUCAUAACUAAAAUUAAUUUUUAAAUGGUGACAUUUUUUUAAACUUAUUUCCAUCAAUUAAAUACUGUUUAAUAGGGAUUUCUUUCCUAUAUAACUUUUUAAUUAAAACUUAAGAAACAGGUUAACUGGAGAAUAAAGUUUUAAUUUAGUAAAAUUAUAAUUUCGAUUAUAAUAACGGCUAUUUAAAUGAUCCAUGAAACAAUAAGUUUAUUUUUUCAAAAAUUAAUUUAAUCGUACCGAUAACCGCAUCAGGUCUCCAAGGUGAGUAGCUUCUGGCCAUUGAGUAAUGGUAAUUUAGGGAAUUCGGCCAAUUAGAGCUGUAACUUCGGGAUAAAGCUUGGCUCUGAUGGAAAUCAGAACCGAUAGUUACAAGGAGAGCCCAACUGUUUAAUAAAAACUUAGUGUCGCGUCAUACCUUUAUAAGUAAUAAACGUGACAUGAAUCCUGCUCAGUGCUGUGUUUGUUAAACUGGAUUAAUCCAUUUAAGCGCCGGUAAAUAGCUGGGGUAACUAUGACUCUUAUCAAAGUAGCGAAAUACCUCGUCACUUAAUUAGUGACCUGCAUGAACGGAGCUAUGAGGUUCUCACUGUCCCAAAUUAUCACUCAGCGAACCAACAGUUGUGGGAACGGGCACAAAUUAUCCAGCGGGGAAAGAAGACCCUGUAGAGCUUCACUUUGGUCUAAUCUUGUAUAGUUUCGUUAGGGGUGCAGUCUAGGUGGGAGAUUUUUAAUCAAAUAUGAGAAACCACUACCCUUUCUGGAAUUAUACUUACUAAAAUUCUUUUCUAAAUUUUAGGAUCGGAUUAGAUAGAAAGUUUGGCUGGGGCGGCACACCUUCGAAAAAGCAGCGAAGGUGUCCUAAGUUAAGCUCAGUAAGGACAGAAAUCUUACGUUGAGGAUAAGGCCAAAAGCUUAAUUUACUGUGCCUUUUUGUACUAGGAUCAGUUUGGAAACAAAGGCCUAACGAUCCCUAAUUAGUCUUAGGUGUGUAAGACUUGGGGUGACAGACAAGUUACCUCCGGGACAACUGGCUUGUGGCUGCUAAGAGAUCAAAUCAACGCAGCUUUUUGAUUCUUCGAUGUCGGCUCUUCCUAUCCUAGUGAUGUACAAGUCACUAAGGGUUGGAUUGUUCAC
RNAcentral lists this ribosomal RNA (2310 nucleotides) under human gut metagenome. RNAcentral's name for it is "eukaryotic LSU rRNA". It matches the Rfam family "Eukaryotic large subunit ribosomal RNA", at positions 157 to 2936 of the family's 3401-position model. The record is from RNAcentral.